AGCCGAUAAUACUCAACCAUUCGCGAGGAUGGGGCGGAAAACCUUCAGGAUCUCUUUGAGACAGCCGGGUUGCCGAA
This is a non-coding RNA of Nitrospirae bacterium GWC2_57_9, 77 nucleotides long. NCBI's taxonomy places the organism in Bacteria, Pseudomonadati, Nitrospirota. The record is from Rfam.